UACGUAGGGGGCAAGCGUUUGUCCGGAUUUAUUGGGCGUAAAGAGCGUGUAGGCGGCUUUACAGGUCCGUUGUGAAAACUCGAGGCUCAACCUCGAGACGCCGGUGGAAACCGUAAGGCUAGAGUCCGGAAGAGGAGAGUGGAAUUCCUGGUGUAGCGGUGAAAUGCGCAGAUAUCAGGAGGAACACCCGUGGCGAAAGCGGCUCUCUGGGACGGUACUGACGCUGAGACGCGAAAGCGUGGGGAGCGAACAGG
Molecule: ribosomal RNA, 254 nt
Filed under: uncultured bacterium
Lineage: Bacteria
Description: partial 16S ribosomal RNA
Rfam family: Bacterial small subunit ribosomal RNA
Source: RNAcentral